GACAGGAACAUGGGGUAGAAGGAACAUCUAUGGAGGAAAGAAGAAAUCCAGACCCGGAAAGGUUCAAAGGUCAAGGGAGAAACUGACAGCCAGCUUACCUCAGUUCCUGCCCCGACCAGGACCCUGGCAGGUACCAGCUCAGGGCUGCCCCCAAGGCAUAAGAAAGUCCCCAGGCUAGGGAAUCAAAUCAGAGCGGCAGCUGCCAACUUAUGCCACGGCCACAGCAACAACAGAUCACCGCCGUGUCUGCGACCUAUACCACAACUCACAGCAACGCCAGAUCCUAACCCCCUGAGCAAGGCCAGGGAUCGAACUCGCAUCCUCACAGAUACUACUCAGGCCCACACGUGCAGCAUGUGUUCCAGGCUAGAGGUCAAAUUGGAGCUGUAGCUGCUGCCCUACACCACAGGCACAGCAACUCCAGAUCCGAGCUGCAUCUGCAAACGACACUACAAAUCACCGCAAUGCUGGAUCCUUAACACACUGAGCGAAGCCAGGGAUCGAACCCGCAUCCUCAUGGAUCCCAGUCAGGGACAGGAACACAGCCAGGCCCUCCAGGCUCUGCCUGUGCACCUGACAGCCUGUCCCCCGAUAGCCACCACGCAGGCACCUUUGCAUCUCUGAGGUGCCGUCCACCUGGGCACAGCCUCCGGGAAGAGGAUGCCUCCAGCGGCCACGGGAGAGCUAGGCAGGGUGCUCCAGGCCACAGCCCCCAUGCACAGGUUCUGAGUGGCGUGUCAGCUUCUGGGUCUCAUCCUCUAACGGCCAGGGCCAGGCUUUUUCCUUUCUGGGUCUGGACAGUGAGUCUGCUGAGCCCUACCCUCCGUCGGCACUUGGCUCCAAGGAUGCAGCUGCUUCAUCAUCUCCUGCCCUAGGACACCAGGUGCAAAGCAGAAUAUAAAGACCUGUUUUGGAGUUUGCGGGGAGCCGAGGAAAUGCAGGGACUCGAGGAAGGGACCUUGCCUGAUGGCAGAAAAACCCGAAGGCAGGUUCCUAGCCAAGGAAGGGAGCUCGCCUGAAUGGUACAAGCUGAAGGUGGGCUUCUGGUCAGGAGAAAAGCCUGCCUGAACGGUGAAAAACCGAGGGCGGCCCUAGAUUACACGACUCUCAUGUUGACGUUGAUGGGGAAGAAUUGGGGCUUUCCUGGGGAAACAAUUUCCAUGUUCGCACCGGAGAACAUGGGUUGUUUCUCGGAUGACCUAGUCUUUCCUGUUGUUUUACUUGCUAUUCAGUUUUUCCUCAGUCUUUCCUGAGUAUUUGCUUAUUAUUAUUUUCCAUUCUUAUUUUCCUGUGGUGAUUUGUGCUUUAACAAAAUUACAAAAAUAAUAUAAUAAGAAUUUCAUCCUGAUGGACUUUCCCCUAUUCAAAUCCAAUUUAAUUAAAAACAUAGUGUUUAUCUACUAACUAGUUAUACAGUAAACUUUAGAGUUAGGAUUUUAAUGAGGUUCAUAGAAGUUGGAUAUAUAUUAUUCAUGAUCAAAAGAAACCUAGCUAUGAGUUUUGUCCUUGAUUUUAGAAGCUUUUACAUUAUAGCUAGUUAAGUUGAUUUAUAUUUUUUUUUACUGUCUUCCUGCCAUGACGCUUUGAAGAUGAGCAUUAAUCUAAAAACAAAACUUGUGAAUGCCAAAUCCUUAUGUCUGUAGCCUUUUUAACUGUUAGCUAACCACAAGAUGCUCUGUACUAAAUCUUCUUAUUUUCACAUGAUGUUUUUUUCCGCAUGAUCUAUUGUACUCAUGAUGUUUGGGGCUUAUUGAUCUUAGUUUUAAUUAAAGAUCUUAGAACGUAAUGCAUAACUACCGUACCCUGUGAUCAGAAAACAUAAUCUAAAAGUUAACCUUUAGAAGUUAACCUUCAGGUGUACUUUUAACAUUGUGGUGUAAUUAAAAACUAUCUAUAUAAACAAUCAUCUAUGCCAAUAAAAUCCAAGCAGUCCAGCGCUCUGAAAAAGAGACAAAGAGGCUGUCUCCGUGUGCAUUCGCCGACACCGUCCAUCCCCGACAGUGCUGGGCUCCUGCCCUGGUGUUCAGGAGACUUCCCGAAGAGGAGGGGCGGCAGGCGCAGGAAUAACGGAGAUGCCCACACUCCCGAGUAGUGCUCAAGCAGCCUCAAACUUAUUGGUGAACAGCAGCAGCUUAUGUAGGGCAAAAACGUAAAACGUACAUCAGCAAAAAAGAUCAAUAUCUCAUAACUGUGCCAGGGUUACAGAUUAAGUGUAAAGAUAGAAAAAGACACCUGGGUUGGGGAAAGUACACCCUAAACCCAUUAAAGAGUAAACAAGCAGAAAGCUCGAGGCACAUACGGGUCACAAACAACCUGGUAAAUGUCACGUACACCUCACUGUCCUUUAAGACAAAUGUCUAUUUACUACAAUCUUACUUUAACUCCCAACCUUAUAAUAGAUUUUUAUACUUAUACAAUAAAGUAAUAAUCAUCAAUUCCUAA
RNAcentral lists this long non-coding RNA (2442 nucleotides) under Sus scrofa (pig). RNAcentral's name for it is "lncRNA (ENSSSCG00015061605.1)". The record is from RNAcentral. Lineage: Eukaryota; Metazoa; Chordata; Mammalia; Artiodactyla; Suidae.